AGAACGAUAACUUUCUCGUGGUCGGGUUUGGGGAACGGAUAGGGAACACCACGUUUGGGGAGGAUAACAAUUGCGCCGUGAACCGUGGCUCGAAGCCACAGGAUGUGAGCGUGCCACCAGAGAGUCCCGCGUUGGCCGGUCAAGGUGUAGUUGUAUGUGUAGACUUGACCUGGCUGGAGUGGGCACUGGGUGAUGUAAGCUGGCCCAUCGGCCCAUCCCGUUCUCACUUGUCUCACACCGUGCCUGUUCUCGGUCGUCCACAGUCACCAAUCAAUUAACUAAUAAACUUACCAAUGAUGAUUCAUUUGAAGAUUAAGUAGGAGGUUACCAGUGGAUGGAGACGUUGUACUUGACGUGAUUAACGACUUUGAUGAGCAACGUGUCGUCUUCUCGUGCGUAGAUUGUGGGACCUGGAUAUCUACCGUUCACGGUCACGGUUGGCUUGCUUGAGCAUAGUCUAGUAAUGUUUUUCAUCACAACCUGUGUGAUUUUCAAACACAAAUAUAAUCAGUAAUAAUUAUAUUGCAAAGUUAGGCAAAAGGGAAAAAGGUAAAUAAAAGAAAAGCAAACCAAUAACUAUAAUCAUUAUCUGAUUGUAAGUUGUAACCAAAAAUAGAUAAAAUCAUACUUCACUUCAUUCACAUGUACGUCAAAAGUCAAAACAUUAUAUAGCCCUUUUAUAUAAAAUGAUUGUCAUGUUUAAAAGGGGGAAAACACCUGACGUACAUAACUUUAAAAUGGUAAUGUGUGCCAGUAAAAGGCUCAUAAGAUGUAAAAAUAUAUUUACAGAAAAUUUAGGUCUAAAUAUCCUAUAUGAAGUAUAAAUUACUUUUUUUUUUUGACAUCAGUACAAAUUACAUAUAUAUGUUCUAAUUAUGUGAAGCCAUAAACCAUAUAUAUCACUACGUAAGCAUGUACGAAAUAUAACUUAUGCUUAUAAGUUACAGUAGUGUGUGUGCAUAUAUAUGGACAUCUUGCGACUACUUCCUAUGUAGCGAAAGAGAUCGGCAUGGCACGUACACGAACACAUAAUAUGUAUGUAUAUAUACAUCUAUGCAAAUGGAUAGAUAUAAACUCACGUUAAAUUUGUAAUGGCGAACCAUGCUCUCCGAUGGAGCUGGGAACACAGACAAGAAGGACACAAGAAACAGAAACCAAACCAUAUGAGACUUCAUAUCUCUCUCUCUCCUCGGUUUCUCUCGUCCUUUCUCUUCUUCUUCUUCUGUGUAUUUAAUAUUCUUGUCUUUGUGUUUGAGAUGAGCGACUGGGCAACGCAAGCUUAUAAAUGAGAGAGGAGAAAGAGUUUAGAAACGAGAGAAGGAGGCAACGUCGUUUUAGGUGGUAGGUCGACCCAAAAUCCAACUCUUUAUAGUUAAGAUUCCCAUUCUUGCCACAACCAAUCUCCCUGACCAAACAAAAGAAAAUUAAUUUUCUUUUCGUACCAAAUUAAUUGUCAAAUCUCGUUUACCAUAUGCUUUAUUUUAAAUUUUGAUUAAUUUCGACAAAACUACAUGUAUUACUAAUUCGAAUUUUAUGUUUGAACUCUUCUGGAUUAACAUGAUUAUUUAGCUAAUUAACAUGCCAAUAAAACAUAUUAAUAUAAUUUUUCUUGGUCUCGAUUAUGCUCAAUUAUUUUACCGGGUAUGUUUGUACUGUUUUAAUUGUUUUUUUGUACUGUUUUAAGUAUUUAUCACUUGUACUGUGUGCAUAAGUUUGUAAUAUAACUGUGAUCAUAUUACGUAGUUACGAUGGGCAACAAAAAGAACGACACGAAGUUGGGAGUAAAUAGGGAGCACUGGCGCAUAGUUUGACCCACCGGAGCGACAACAGAAGAGUGCGAGCGUGCCAGUAAGGCUUCCACUCAUAAUGCGCUCCACACGCUUUUGUACAUUAGUGGCUUUGCACAAAUCAUUUGAUAUCUUUAAUAAAUUUAUUACUUCUAGUUAUAUAUAAAAAUAUUUCAUAGACUUUUAUUAUAAGUUGGAACCCAUACUUUACGUUAUAAAUUUAUGAAUUUUGGAGGUGCCAAGAAAAUGACAGGGCUCUGAUAGUUUUGUUGUCAAUGGGAAUUUAUAUUUCGUUUGAACUUUUUGCUGUAGUAUAUAUAUCUCUGGAAAACCAUAGAGAAACUAUAUAAUUUCAGGAAAUACAAAUCAGUCAUACCGACAUGCCGUUUUUUGAAAUUUCCAACAGUGAAAUGAAAAGAUAAAUUCUACAGAAGUCCGUCUAUGUCCUAGUCUUUACCAACAAAACAAUAACCAUUGAAUUAUAUUAUCAUUUGUUUAAAUUUAAGAUUAUGAUUAAAAAUAAAAUACAUUUUCUUCAUGUAGAAUAUAUAUGAAUGUAUGUAUGUAUGUUAUAUUUCACUGAAUGUUACAAUAAAAUAUUUCUCAUUCUCAAUAUAGUCUUGUUUAAGUCUAUAUAUAUUCUUUAGCCAAAGAAAUAUUCUUGAUGUGCUCAUUUUGGAAUUCUCCGAGAGAACUUUUGAGCUAUGGCAACAAAAUUAUUUAUAAAAUUUUAUUGACUUUUUGAAACUAAAUUUUAUUGAUUUUAACAUAUUUAAUUAGUAUGUGCAGUUUUACUGAUCUAAAUUGUUAUGAAGGUUUUGUCAUUUAUAUAUCUUUAAUUACAUGGUCUCUUUAAUCGCUAAAAUGAUAUUUAUUCCAACUGAAAUUAAUCACAAAUAUAAUCAGUUAUUAUAUGCUUGUCUAAGGAGUUUUAAAACUUAGAACUCCCAAAUUUUUUUUAAAGAUUUAAAAGUAACAGAAAAGAAAAGCUAGCUACCUAACCUAAUAUGUAUAUUAAAAACUCCAGUUUCAUGGCAGCACAAUCGAAAGAGAAAAAUAAUUAAGAAAUAAACCGAAUAAUCGAGAUGAUACAACGUCGGUUUUUAAAGGAGAAAUAUAGCCGACAAAAAUAAAUAAAUAAACUCACUUCUCCAAAGAGGGUGGCUCAAAGUCAAGGUCAAAAGCUCAUGUGUUUCAAGAGGUCAAUUUAGAUAACCAUAUAGUUGUUAUGCUAAAACAAUUUAAGAUAACCAAAUAGUUUUGUUUCUUUUCUUUAAUUUAUCCCCACCCCUUAACCAAUCAAUUUAUUGUUAAUCCUCGUAUUAUCAUGCACUUAACUUUGUCCUAACCCCACAUGGCUACGGGCUACCUAUGUAAUAAAGUUAUUUUCUUGAUGGGGGAGAUAUAUCUAAUAUUCAAUUUGGUGCGAGACUUUUUCCUCAAGGGGUAUUAAUUUGCACAUCUGUGAGCUUUUCAAUGUUUUACUAACAUAUAUAACAUCAGAUUCCAAUUUCUUAAACCGAUUAAGUUUGUUUGGUCGAAAAUUAUAAGUGGCGAGAGCAUAAACUCAUAUAUUUUCAAGGUCCGGUGAUCUAAGGACGAAAUAAAAAAGGUAAAUGUGUAAUAAAAUACGUUGUUGAUUCAUAUACCAUCUAUAUAAAUUUUGUUUAAAAAUAAAGUUGUUGGACCAAAAGAAUAUAAUAAACUCAUGGGUCAUAUAAGAGUUGUGUUGGAGAGAAUAAUGAUAUAAUAAUAUAAAUGGAUGUUGGAUAUAAUGAUAAAAAAUAUUGUUGUAAUACAAUCUCUUUUCUUUUCCUUCCUCUUUUAUUCAAACUUUGCUUGAGCAAAAAAAUCGAACCUUUAACUUUGCUCAAAAAAUAUAAUUUGCUAACCAAAUCCACGCAUUAAUUCACCACUCGCUGGUCUUCUUAAACGUGCCCUUGUUUAGUUGAAGAAUCUAACACUUGGGAAGAUCCUUAGGCGGUGGCAAAAUCGACUGAUUUGGUCCUUUGCCGUUCUCCACCAAGAAAGCCAUCUUUAAUCCCCACGUCGUGUGUACCUCCAAGUGACAAUGCAUGAACCAAACCCCUAUACGUUACAAAAUAUCAAUCCAUUACUUUUAUAACGAGGAGAUUAUAUAAUAGUAUUUGACUUCUUGCCAUAAGAUUUUUAUUUGUUUCAUUUUUAAAAUAACAUGGUGACGGCAAAUCAAGUUAUACACUAACAUAGCUUGCACACUGCUAUCUGAAUUUGGCAAGGGACAUAUGAUGAGUUAGACCUAAACCUAUGACUACUACAACUUCUAUAAACACUAGAUUAGAAUCAUUUAAUUAACUUAUUUUUACUUUGAAUUUUGUGAACUUACCGGGAUUAUCCGCUCUGAAUCUGAUGACAACCCAUCCACCAGAUGGAACUCCGAUUGUGUUCCUCUCAACCGGAUCGACCAAAUUGAAAUUGCUUGGAUCUUUCUUGGCGUUGAAGUUACCUAAUCCACGACCAACUUCAAAAAAGUUAAAGCCAUGUAGAUGAAUAGGAUGGUUCUCUGGGGCUAUGACGCCGGUAUCCUGGAGAACAAGCUGCACCGUGGCGUUGUAAGGUAGCUUGUAAAGCCUCGUCCCUGUUUCCGUGGCCAUGUUCGUGACUGAUCCUCCGCUGUAGUUGAAAACAUGCGGUGGGUUCUUGGGAAAAUCCGUCGUGAAAACGCCGCUAAUGUUAAAGUAAUGAGCUGGAAGCAAAGCGGUUUUGGGCAUAGUGAAUGUUACAUUGUUGAUGCUGGCCACCACACGGCUUCCGUUCCCAGCCUUACAAGUGGGGCACGGGUUUAAUCCGAGGCCGACGGUGAAAAAUAGGUGGUGGUCGAUGGUGGUCGGGACUAGGGCAGGGUACUUCUUAGAGUUGAGACUACGAAGAGAGUUUGUAAAAUUGUUGGCGAUGGUAGUAGCGUUUUGCGGCGGAGGGAGAGUGAGUGUUGUUGGGGAGGAGGAUAGUGUUCCGGAGUAAUGGACAGUGGCGGUGGCGGUAACAUUGUCCACCGCGAUGGGGGAGUCCAUGAAGGGAGAAGCGGUUACAAGGUAUUUGCCGGCAGAUUUUGAGGUGGUUAGGAGGACGUUGGUGGUUUGACCGGGUGCUAUAAGGACGGUGUCGGUCUUGAACGGUUUGACGUAGACAGCGUCCACUUCCACCACCGUGAAAAGAUGGCCAGCGACUUUAAAAAAGAGCUCUUCAUUAAGUGCAGCAUUGACUAGUCGUAGCAGAUAGGUUUUGCCAUUUGUUACUGACAGUUUGUAACCUUCGAGAGCAGAAUGAGGGUUUCAUAAUCAGCUUUUUGGCAACUAUUAGUAUUACUAUAAAAAUUUAUAAAGGUAACUAAGAAAUUAAUUACCCUGAGAUGGACAAUUAUUUACGGGGCCAGAGUGUCCGUUGAUCAUGUGAGCGUCAGAGACAUUAGGGGCUAAUCCAGACUUAAGCGCCUCGUUAAUAACGUUUUCAGUAUCUGAUUUCCACCAUUCAGCUGCCAUUAUGAUGAGCAUUAGUUAGCCAUGCCAAAUUAACAUAUAUUCAUUGCCACAUAAGAUAACCGCAUUCAGCUUUAUAGGUUUUUAAUUAACACGAUGAAGUGCAAGCCACAUGAGAAUUAGAUUCAAUAUAUCCGAACUUUCUAAAAUAGAAUGAUUAAUCUACCUAGAACGAUAACUUUCUCGUGGUCGGGUUUGGGGAACGGAUAGGGAACACCACGUUUGGGGAGGAUAACAAUUGCGCCGUGAACCGUGGCUCGAAGCCACAGGAUGUGAGCGUGCCACCAGAGAGUCCCGCGUUGGCCGGUCAAGGUGUAGUUGUAUGUGUAGACUUGACCUGGCUGGAGUGGGCACUGGGUGAUGUAAGCUGGCCCAUCGGCCCAUCCCGUUCUCACUUGUCUCACACCGUGCCUGUUCUCGGUCGUCCACAG
This 5733-nucleotide long non-coding RNA is filed under the name Brassica napus (rape). Its description in RNAcentral is "long non-coding RNA (BNAP_LNC002105)". The record is from RNAcentral. Lineage: Eukaryota; Viridiplantae; Streptophyta; Magnoliopsida; Brassicales; Brassicaceae.